CAAAAACAUGUCCUUUUGAUAAUAAUUUAAGGUCAGGCCUGCCCAAUGAUUAUUUUGAAUGGCCGCAGUAUUUUGACUGUGCAAAGGUAGCAUAAUCAUUAGUUUCUUAAUUAGAAGCUGGUAUGAAUGGUUUGAUGAAAAAUUGACUGUCUCGAUUUAAAUGAUUUUGAAUUUUAUUUUUAAGUGAAAAAGCUUAAAUUUUUUAUAAAGACGAGAAGACCCUAUAGAGUUUAAUAUUAAUAGUUUUUAUUAUUUUAAGGUUUUGGUUUAUUUUGAUAAUUAUUAGUAUUUUGUUGGGGUGACAUUAAAAUUUAAUAAACUUUUAUUUUUAAAAACAUUAAUUUAUGAGUUACUGAUCCUAUUGUUUAGAUUAUAAGAAAAAAUUACCUUAGGGAUAACAGCGUAAUUUUUUUGGAAAGUUCUUAUUGAUAAAAAAGUUUGCGACCUCGAUGUUGGAUUAAAAUUUAAUUUGGGUGU
This 477-nucleotide ribosomal RNA is filed under the name Callismilax sarasini. RNAcentral describes it as "partial 16S ribosomal RNA". It matches the Rfam family "Bacterial large subunit ribosomal RNA", at positions 1808 to 2556 of the family's 2925-position model. The record is from RNAcentral. Lineage: Eukaryota; Metazoa; Arthropoda; Insecta; Coleoptera; Tenebrionidae.